AUUGAUGAGCAUGACUUCAAUACAAAACUUCGGAAUGCAAUCAAGUUCCUUGAAAAAGGCGAUAAAGUGAAAGCUUCUAUCCGUUUCAAAGGACGUGCAAUCACGCAUAAGGAAAUCGGCCAGCGUGUACUAGACCGUUUCUCAGCUGCAUGUAAAGAAGUGGCGACCAUUGAAUCACACCCAAAAAUGGAUGGCCGCAGCAUGUUCCUGGUUUUAGCACCGAAAAACGAAAAGUAAUGUAAUGAGGAGGAAUACCUUAUGCCUAAAAUGAAAACACACCGCGGAUCUGCAAAACGUUUCAAAAAAACUGGAUCCGGCAAACUUAAGCGUUCAAACGCUUA
RNAcentral lists this unclassified non-coding RNA (341 nucleotides) under Bacillus sp. OV322. RNAcentral describes it as "Long range pseudoknot". Lineage: Bacteria; Bacillati; Bacillota; Bacilli; Caryophanales; Bacillaceae. The record is from RNAcentral.